AGGUUUAAAUCUGAGUCAGCAGGCUGUGUUUGAGAGAGAAGCAGAGAAGUAAGAGAGAAUUACAGAAGAGGAAAGAGAGACAGAAAUGAGAGAAUUUCGUGUUUCAGGCUCAAUAGAGUUCUCACCUUCCAUUUCUCUUCCUUCCAGAAAUGAUAACCUGACUCUAGAUUGUCCCCUUGGGAUAUUUUCCCGAGAAGGAAAAGCUGCAAGAAUGUUUAAUAUGCUUACACAGUUCUCCAAAGUGAUCUAAAAUAGUCACUUCCAUAAUUAUUUUCUUGCAUUAUUUUAUUGGAAUAGUUACAAUAUUAUAUAAGUUGCAGGUGGACUAUCUAGCGAUGAGCAAUUUUAAAGGUUAUGUUCUGGGGGUUCCCAUUGUGGCUCAGUGGGAACGAAUCUGACUAGCAUCCAUGAGGAGGCAGGUUCGAUCCCUGGCCUCGCUCAGUGUGUUAAGGAUCCAGCAUUGCCAUGAGCUGUGGUGUAGGUCACAGAUGCAGCUCCGAAUCCGCGUAGCUGUGGCUGUGGCGUAGGCUGGAAGCUGCAGCUCCGUUUUGAGUCCUGGGAACUUCCAAUAUGCUGCAGGUGUGGCCCUAAAAAGACAAAAUAAAUAAAUAGAAAAAGGUUGUAUUUUAUUUAUAGUUGUAAAAUAUUGGCUGUAUUCCUUGGGUCGUACAAUAUAUCCUUAUAGUUUAUUUUACAUAUAAUGGUUUAUAUCUCUUAAUCCCUGUCCCCUCUCUUGCCCCUCCCCCCUCCCCUUGCCCACUGGUAACUGCUCGUUCUCUAUAUUUAUAAGUAUGCUUCUUUUUAUAAUCACUGAUUUGUUGUAUUUUAGAUUCUACAUCUAAGUGGUGUCAUAUCACUUGCCUUUCUCUGUCUGACUUAAUUCACUCAGCAUAAUGGCCUCCACGUCCAUCCACGUUGCUGCAAAUGGCAAAAUUUCAUUCUUUUUUACAGCUGAGUAAUAUUCCAUUGUGUAUAUGUACCACAUCUUCUUUAUGCAUCCGUCUGUUGAUGGGCAUUUAUAGUGCCUCCAUGUCUUGGCUACUGUAAAUAAUGCUACGGUGAACAUUGGGGUGCAGGUAUCUUUUCACAUCAGUGGGGUUUUUUUUCAGGUGUAUACGCAGGAGUGGAAUUGCUCAGCCAUGUAAUAGUUCUGAGUUUUUCGAGGACGCUCCCUACUGUUCUCUCCAGUGGCUGCACCAGUUUACAUUCCCAUCAACAGCGUAGGAGGCUCCCUUUUCUAAUAAGCACUUGCUUUAAAUGGAGAUUUGUUUUUGGAACUUAGCUGCUCAUGGCCAAUAGUAUGAAACCUUUUAUUACCAUAGCUGUAUUCCAGACUCCAAUUAACAGGUGGAGAAUAGGGGACUUUGGUCUGUCCAACCAAGAAUCACAGUGGGACCAGCUUUACCGAACUGUCCUUAAGAGAGCCUGACUUUAUUGCCUCCAAAAGUUGAUUUUAACCUUGAGUGCGUGCGUCACAAAUGCUCACGUUUUGGGAAAGUGGAGCGUAGGUAUGAGCGUCUUUUCUGGCACCAGCGAGGGUUGGGAACAGAACAGCCUUCCUGGUGGCGGGGGUUUUUAAGCACAUUUAUUCCCCCUUCAAAACCUGCGACUGUCUCGGAAGGGACCCGCGGGUAUGUGCGCAAAAGAGCAGAUGGUGCGUGAAGGAGAGAGACUAUGCGGCAGCAGAAAAUGAAUUCGCUUAUUAAGAAAUCGGCUGCUUGAGACACCAUGGCAGGUGUCCAUGGAACGUGCUCGGGUGUGAUUCCAGGAGGAGAGGGGCUUUCCCAGCUGCCUGCUCUGAAGUCAGGACUUGUCUUUGUCGCCACGAUUUACAGCCUUUUUACGAACGCCUCCUCCGUGCGUCUGGGGUUCUAGCUUCGGUCCCCCGUCCAGGCCCCUCCUCCGAGGCCCUGCUUCCCAGCCUGCUCGCCAUUUCGCUCUGACCCACGGAGGCCCGGAGCAGGAAGCGUGGAGCUGGCGGCUCCUCUGCUCCAGGCCCCGCUGCGCUGGGAGGGGGACCUGGGGACGAGGAGGAGUCUGGUUCAGAGGAGACCACAGCAGGGAAAUGCUGUGUGGAGGUGGAGGGAGUGUGUGAAUACAGAGUGUGGCCCAGUGUAGGACAUCAGGGAGCGGUGGGGACUGUGGCAAGCAGGUGGCAGCGCACAUGAGCAGGACAACUUUUGUGUGCAAACAUCUGGUUUUUAAAACCCUUCCGACGAAGCCAAACACGCUGGAGGCGGGACUCGGUCCCUGGCCGUCCAGCUUGCACGUGACAGUGAAACACGGGAGGGCAAGAGGCUGGAGGGGAGGCGACGGGCCAGGACACCCCUGUCCCCUCCCCUUUCCUGGGCCAGGAGUUAGGAUGUUAAUAUUAAAAUGCUCACAGAGAACAAAAAGCAGAUACAAACAGCUUAAGCUCCUAGGCAGCCUAAGAACACGAUGCCGAAGCCUCCAGUGUCGACUGAAUCCUCGUCUGGGGCUGGCGGGCUGUGUGGACCCGGGGGAGUCACAUCCCCUCAGCAUCUGCGGAGUGGAGAGAAUUGUCGUCACCACGUACGGCUGUCGUGAGCAUCCAGUAAAUUCACACAGCCGCUGGAAGUGCGUCUGGCACUGUUGAAGUGCUGGCUGUUGUUAGAGUUACGGAGGCAGAUGGUUCCAGAAAAAGCAGAGAUGCGCUGGCGGCCCGGGAUGCCCCGAUUCAGUCCUUUCCAUUGGCCGCUUCAUGGCGUGGUUGUGAGCUCCCUCCCCUUCCAUAUCCCCAUCCCCAUCCUUGGCUGUGCCGUCUUCCCAGAUCUGGACUGAAACACUGAAGCGGCUAGGUGCAUAUGACCCACCUGGAGAUCUGCUGAAAUGCAGAUUCAGAUUCUGUGGAUCUGGGCAACCGGGCAGGACCAGGGAUUCUGCCUCCUUGGCAUCCUCUUCCUAGCAAAGUGUUUUUGUUGGUUGGUUUGCUUUGGUUGGUUUUUUUUUUUUUGCUUUCCAAGGCUACAUCCCUGGCAUGUGGAGGUUCCCAGGCUAGGGGUCUAAUCGGAGCUACAGCUGCUGGCCUACGCCACAGCCACGGCAUCGUCAGGUCCAAGGCGCAUCUGUGACCUACACCACAGCUACAGCAAUGCCGGAUCCUUAACCCACUGAGUGAGGCCAGGAAUCGAACCCACAUCCUCAUGGAUACUAGUUGGGUUCAUACCUGCUGAGCCACGAUGGAAACUCCCAAACAAAGCUUUGCCUUUUAGUUUUAAGCCUCCUUGAGGCUCUGAGAGGCGGCCAGUGUGCAGGGGCCUCCCGCCCUCUGCAUGCUCUCCUGCAGGGAGGUGGGGAGGUGCCCGCACCCAGAGAAGCCCAGCUCUGCCCAUCACUCCUCCGCCUCCGCGCCCGCCGUGACUCAGGCCCACAGCGCCGUCAUGGGAGAGUCUCAGGUGGGGAGACUUUCAGAGCCGUCGUCCAAUCGCAGAACCCUGUGAACUGAGAAUAAACAGCACAAAGGGAGCCUUAUGCCCCAGACCUGUGCCUGCAACUCCCACCAGCCUGGCUCUGUCACAGCCCUGUGUGCGGUGCGGCCUCAGCGAAUGUGUGGGGAGGUGUGACAGCAUCUCCUGCUUGUGUGGGUACUUUAGACACAGGCCAAGAUGCCCAAGCCACAGAUAUCCCCUGAAUUUGUGAAGAUGUCCCAGUUUUCUGCGCUCAAACUACCCCUCCCCAAUCCAGAAACGUGGAACCAUCAGGCCACUCUGUGUUGCUACCAACUAACCCACGUGCAAGCGACCCCAGCACAGCGGAGCAGAGAGUGUUG
Molecule: long non-coding RNA, 3790 nt
Filed under: Sus scrofa (pig)
Lineage: Eukaryota; Metazoa; Chordata; Mammalia; Artiodactyla; Suidae
Description: lncRNA (ENSSSCG00040013830.1)
Source: RNAcentral